AUAUCCCAUGAUCAAACAUCCACAAUCCUAUAUAGAAUCAAUUUCAAUAAUUAGAAAGAAUACGAAUACCAUAUUUCAACGGUUUAGAUUGGGUCCGAUCAUCUAAUUUUAUCUAAUCAAAAUCUAAUUAGGACCUAAAUGAUCCAAAGUUUGACUAUCAGAUCAAAUCGGAUUUGAAGUGAUAGGACUGAGAUUUCUUCAUCAAUUUCAUAAAAUCAAGUGGAGAGAGAAAAUCAAAGGAGAGAGAAUUCAUGAGGUACAAUUCGAAUUGAUCAGGUGACACAAUCCAACAUUACGAUUGGUCCAAUAUCUCGAUUGGUGAAAUCAACAUGAUCAAAUCAAGUCAUGGCU
RNAcentral lists this long non-coding RNA (351 nucleotides) under Elaeis guineensis (African oil palm). RNAcentral describes it as "long non-coding RNA (EGUI_LNC042726)". The record is from RNAcentral. Lineage: Eukaryota; Viridiplantae; Streptophyta; Magnoliopsida; Arecales; Arecaceae.